RNAcentral lists this ribosomal RNA (253 nucleotides) under uncultured bacterium. Its description in RNAcentral is "partial 16S ribosomal RNA". It matches the Rfam family "Bacterial small subunit ribosomal RNA", at positions 524 to 776 of the family's 1533-position model. The record is from RNAcentral.
UACAGAGGUCCCGAGCGUUGUUCGGAUUCACUGGGCGUAAAGGGUGCGUAGGUGGCAUGGUAAGUUUGAUGUGAAAGCUCAGGGCUUAACCCUGAAAUGGCAUUGAAUACUACUGUGCUGGAGGUUUGGAGGGGGGACUGGAAUUCUUGGUGUAGCAGUGAAAUGCGUAGAUAUCAAGAGGAACACCAGUGGCGAAGGCAGCCCCCUGGGCUGACACUGACGCUCAUGCACGAAAGCGUGGGGAGCAAACAGG